AUUGAACGCUGGCGGCAGGCCUAACACAUGCAAGUCGAGCGGAUGAAGGGAGCUUGCUCCUGGAUUCAGCGGCGGACGGGUGAGUAAUGCCUAGGAAUCUGCCUGGUAGUGGGGGAUAACGUCCGGAAACGGGCGCUAAUACCGCAUACGUCCUGAGGGAGAAAGUGGGGGAUCUUCGGACCUCACGCUAUCAGAUGUGCCUAGGUCGGAUUAGCUAGUUGGUGGGGUAAAGGCCUACCAAGGCGACGAUCCGUAACUGGUCUGAGAGGAUGAUCAGUCAAACUGGAACUGAGACACGGUCCAGACUCCUACGGGAGGCAGCAGUGGGGAAUAUUGGACAAAGGGCGAAAGCCUGAUCCAGCCAUGCCGCGUGUGUGAAGAAGGUCUUCGGAUUGUAAAGCACUUUAAGUUGGGAGGAAGGGCAGUAAGUUAAUACCUUGCUGUUUUGACGUUACCAACAGAAUAAGCACCGGCUAACUUCGUG
RNAcentral lists this ribosomal RNA (484 nucleotides) under uncultured bacterium. RNAcentral describes it as "partial 16S ribosomal RNA". It matches the Rfam family "Bacterial small subunit ribosomal RNA", at positions 30 to 507 of the family's 1533-position model. The record is from RNAcentral.